RNAcentral lists this ribosomal RNA (402 nucleotides) under bacterium. RNAcentral's name for it is "partial 16S ribosomal RNA". It matches the Rfam family "Bacterial small subunit ribosomal RNA", at positions 355 to 776 of the family's 1533-position model. The record is from RNAcentral.
UGGGGAAUUUUGCACAAUGGGGGAAACCCUGAUGCAGCGACGCCGCGUGAUUUAGAAGGCCUUCGGGUUGUAAAAAUCUUUUCUAUGGGAAGAAAAUGACAGUACCAUAGGAAUAAGGACCGGCUAAUUACGUGCCAGCAGCCGCGGUAAUACGUAAGGUCCGAGCGUUGUCCGGAAUCAUUGGGCGUAAAGGGUACGUAGGCGGGUAAGCAAGUUAGAAGUGAUAUCCUAUAGCUCAACUAUAGUAAGCUUUUAAAACUGCUCAUCUUGAGGUAUGGAAGGGAAAGUGGAAUUCCUAGUGUAGCGGUGAAAUGCGCAGAUAUUAGGAGGAAUACCGGUGGCGAAGGCGACUUUCUGGCCAUAACCUGACGCUGAGGUACGAAAGCGUGGGUAGCAAACAGG